RNAcentral lists this long non-coding RNA (1068 nucleotides) under Citrus x clementina. Its description in RNAcentral is "Citrus clementina (C. clementina) long non-coding RNA (CCLE_LNC005657)". Lineage: Eukaryota; Viridiplantae; Streptophyta; Magnoliopsida; Sapindales; Rutaceae. The record is from RNAcentral.
GGGGGCUCAAGCCCCCACUGGUCACAUGCUAGAUCCGCCCAUGGGUACAACUUGACAAAACGGUGGUGAUUAUUCUUAAUGUCUGCCAUCAAUUCCUAAGCUAUACUACAUUUUGAAGCUGUCGUUUAACCAUUUAAUAAUGCGAUCAUUUUAAAAUGCGAUUGUAACAUGAGAAAUAAUUUGGAUUAAGCGUAAUUAUUCGAUAUCUUGUCUCUUUGGAUGUAUUUAUUUUGUAAUUCUCGUUAAAUUUGAGCGGUCAAAAACAUUUUUUCCCUGUCUGCUUCUGAUGUAUUGGGUGUAUUUUCUUGGAUGGCGGAUGGUGUGUGGUGCCCAUUCCCACGAUUUGACUGGGAUUUAUUUAAAUUUUUUUCUUUUUUUUAAUUUACCAUGAUUUUUAAGAAUUUAAUUUCUAUUAAAAUUUAAUAUACAUCAUAAUAUAGAAUUUAAAUUCCACACUAAAGAGUGAUAAAUUUGAAUUCAUUUUCUAUUGGAAGCCAAAACAUCCAAAAUUAUCCCUUCAAUCUUUUAUUAACUUGUUUAAUAUUAUCAAAUUAUUAUUAUUUACAAAUUUAUUUUAUCAUUUUAAUAUUGCAGAUAAUUAGUUUUGUAUUAGUAAAAAUUAAAGAAAUGAUUUAAAUAAUUUAAUAAAAUCACUUUAUUUAUUUUAUUAAUUUUAAAAAAUAGAAAUACAAAUUUAACAACCACUGGACCGCCGUCGUUACCACCGUCAGACUGCCGCCUCUGCCGUCGACACUUGGCGUGGGAUGUCACCGCUCGUACCGUUGGAGUCGGUGGCCAAUGAGAAACGUCGUUAUACCGUCACACAAGUGAAAAAAAUGAAUUUAUCUUCUUCAAAUCAUGUUAAAAGAAAUUUGAAAACUUUCUAACUAUCUUAAAUCUAGACGAACAUCAAGUAUUUCGACCAAAUAAGUUGUUUCAAUCUAUAGAUCGUCAAGUUCUGAUCAUUUUCAUAUAAUUCUCGAGCUGAAAUGACAUGGUAUAGUGGUGGCCGGUGGCAAGACACAACGGUUCCGACGGCGGCAACUCUUUUUUUUUUUGUUGUUCAAA